AGAAUGACCCUACUAUCGGAUAGAUUACUCUCAAAAUGGCCUGACUAUCGGAGAGAUUACUCUCAAAAUAGCCCGACUAUUGGAGAGAUUACUCUCACAAUGGCCCGACUAUCGGAGAGAUUGCUCUCAAUGUGGACCGACUAUCGGAGAGACUACUCUCAAAAUAGCCCAACUAUCGGAGAGAUUACUCUCAAUAUGGCCUGACUAUCGGAGAGAUUACUCUCAAAAUGGCUCGACUAUCGGAGAGAUUACUCUCAAUGUGGCAUGACUAUCAGAGAGAUUACUCGCAAUGUGGCUCGACUAUCAGCAAUGCCAAUUUAAGGUGCAAAGGGACUCAAAUGUCCACCUUAAGAUUGGAAAGUUAUAGUUCCUUUCAAGGACAAACCUGCGAAGAGGCCAACUUAAGGUGCAAAGGGACUCAUAUGUCCAUCUUAAGAUUGGAAAGUUAUAGUUCUUUUUAAGGACAAACCCGUGAAAAGGCCAACUUAAGGUGCAAAGGGACUUAUAUGUCCACCUUGAGAUUGGAAAGUUAUAAGGCUUCAAUUCGAAAAUGACAUCGCAUGAACACUUGGAAAACUUUGAAGAUUAGGCGGACUUUGCAGACUUCAACUCAAAUAUUUGGAGGGCUUAAACAAUUCUACUUUAAGACCGGCGAAUUUGAAGACUCAAACUUGAAGACCGACGAACUUUAAAACUUCAACUUUGAGACUUGGAGGGCCUAAAUAUUUCAACUUGAAGAUCGGCGAAUUUGAAGACUUCAACUUGAAGACCGCCGGGCUUGAAGACGUCAACUUUGACACUUGGAGGGCCUAAAUAUUUUAACUUCAAGAUCUGUGAAUUUGAAGACUUUAACUUAAAGACCAACAGACUUGAAGAAAUCAACAUUGAGACUUGGAGGGCCUAAAUAUUUCAACUUGAAGAUCAGCAGAUUUGAAGACUUCAACUUGAAGAUCGACGGGGUUAAAAAUUUCAACUUGGGGACUUCAACUUGAAUACACUUAAAGACUUCAACUUCGAGACUUCAAGGGCUUAACUAUUUCAGCUUCUCUUUUGCUUUACAUUGUUUGACUUUUAUCUUAGUCACAUUGUUUUUAGCUUUACGUGCUUGUAACAAAUGAUUCAUAUCUUGUUGUGGGAGA
Molecule: long non-coding RNA, 1139 nt
Filed under: Nicotiana benthamiana
Lineage: Eukaryota; Viridiplantae; Streptophyta; Magnoliopsida; Solanales; Solanaceae
Description: long non-coding RNA (NBEN_LNC041061)
Source: RNAcentral